RNAcentral lists this ribosomal RNA (545 nucleotides) under Aspergillus flavus. RNAcentral describes it as "eukaryotic LSU rRNA". The stretch from base 182 to 335 matches the Rfam family "5.8S ribosomal RNA". The record is from RNAcentral. Lineage: Eukaryota; Fungi; Ascomycota; Eurotiomycetes; Eurotiales; Aspergillaceae.
CGAGUGUAGGGUUCCUAGCGAGCCCAACCUCCCACCCGUGUUUACUGUACCUUAGUUGCUUCGGCGGGCCCGCCAUUCGUGGCCGCCGGGGGCUCUCAGCCCCGGGCCCGCGCCCGCCGGAGACACCACGAACUCUGUCUGAUCUAGUGAAGUCUGAGUUGAUUGUAUCGCAAUCAGUUAAAACUUUCAACAAUGGAUCUCUUGGUUCCGGCAUCGAUGAAGAACGCAGCGAAAUGCGAUAACUAGUGUGAAUUGCAGAAUUCCGUGAAUCAUCGAGUCUUUGAACGCACAUUGCGCCCCCUGGUAUUCCGGGGGGCAUGCCUGUCCGAGCGUCAUUGCUGCCCAUCAAGCACGGCUUGUGUGUUGGGUCGUCGUCCCCUCUCCGGGGGGGACGGGCCCCAAAGGCAGCGGCGGCACCGCGUCCGAUCCUCGAGCGUAUGGGGCUUUGUCACCCGCUCUGUAGGCCCGGCCGGCGCUUGCCGAACGCAAAUCAAUCUUUUUCCAGGUUGACCUCGGAUCAGGUAGGAUACCCGCUGAACUUAAGC